This 812-nucleotide ribosomal RNA is filed under the name Bunodera luciopercae. Its description in RNAcentral is "eukaryotic LSU rRNA". It matches the Rfam family "Eukaryotic large subunit ribosomal RNA", at positions 129 to 634 of the family's 3401-position model. Lineage: Eukaryota; Metazoa; Platyhelminthes; Trematoda; Plagiorchiida; Allocreadiidae. The record is from RNAcentral.
UUGAUUAUAAGGCAAUGUGGUGUUUAGGUCGUUCCGUAGAGACACUGCUCCUCUCUAAGUCCAUCAAUGAGUACGGUUGUACUGACAUGGCCCAUGGAGGGUGAAAGGCCCGUAAGAGUGGAGUUUUGAUAUGACAGUGUCUCUCUGGAUUGACCUUGGAGUCGGGUUGUUUGGGAAUGCAGCCCAAAGCGGGUGGUAAACUCCAUCCAAGGCUAAAUACAAGCACGAGUCCGAUAGCGAACAAGUACCGUGAGGGAAAGUUGAAAAGUACUUUGAAGAGAGAGUAAACAGUGCGUGAAACCGCUUAGAGGUAAACGGGUGGAGUUGAACUGGAAUCUCUGAGAAUUCAGCUGGGGAAUUUUGCUUGAGCUUGGUCAAUUGGGCAGGGCCUCGAGGUAUGCUUAUCUGCAUGUUCUGAUCUUCGGAUCGGGAUGCGCGUUGCUCUUAUCAAGGGCUGUGCGCCUUGGGUGUCCGGCUGGCUCAUUCGCCAGUGCACUUUCUUGGAGUGAUCACCACGACCGGCGCUGCUGCUGGGCUGUUAUAGUUAAACCGGGCAUUCUUCGUCCUUGUGGCGUUGGGUGUUCGACACGGCAGGUAACUGGGUUCUUGCUUCGGCUUGUUUCUUGGUGUAUGCUGGCUUUAACGGUUCCAUGUGGUGUGUCGGAGACGGCGGCUUGUGGUGUGUGCAUGCGUGUCUAUCUGUUGGGGCAUUCUAGUUUGGUAGCUGUGUGCUUGUUCAAGCAGGCCCAGUUAUGGCUGGAGUGUGUCAGUGGGUGGUUGCGUGUGUGACACUUUUCAGGGCCAAUAGUCUG